AUAUCUUUAGUAUAUUAAAUACGUCUCCCUUCCAAGGAAAAAAUUGGCCACCAAAGAUAAA
This 61-nucleotide transfer RNA is filed under the name Typosyllis sp. patternB. Its description in RNAcentral is "tRNA-Gly". The record is from RNAcentral. Lineage: Eukaryota; Metazoa; Annelida; Polychaeta; Phyllodocida; Syllidae.